AGAGUUUGAUCAUGGCUCAGGACGAACGCUGGCGGCGCGCCUAACACAUGCAAGUCGAACGAGCGAGAGAGAGCUUGCUUUCUCGAGCGAGUGGCGAACGGGUGAGUAACGCGUGAGGAACCUGCCUCAAAGAGGGGGACAACAGUUGGAAACGACUGCUAAUACCGCAUAAGCCCACGGGUCGGCAUCGACCAGAGGGAGAAGGAGCAAUCCGCUUUGAGAUGGCCUCGCGUCCGAUUAGCUAGUUGGUGAGGUAACGGCCCACCAAGGCGACGAUCGGUAGCCGGACUGAGAGGUUGAACGGCCACAUUGGGACUGAGACACGGCCCAGACUCCUACGGGAGGCAGCAGUGGGGAAUAUUGCACAAUGGGGGAAACCCUGAUGCAGCGACGCCGCGUGGAGGAAGAAGGUCUUCGGAUUGUAAACUCCUGUUGUUGAGGAAGAUAAUGACGGUACUCAACAAGGAAGUGACGGCUAACUACGUGCCAGCAGCCGCGGUAAAACGUAGGUCACAAGCGUUGUCCGGAAUUACUGGGUGUAAAGGGAGCGCAGGCGGGAAGACAAGUUGGAAGUGAAAUCCAUGGGCUUAACCCAUGAACUGCUUUCAAAACUGUUUUUCUUGAGUAGUGCAGAGGUAGGCGGAAUUCCCGGUGUAGCGGUGGAAUGCGUAGAUAUCGGGAGGAACACCAGUGGCGAAGGCGGCCUACUGGGCACCAACUGACGCUGAGGCUCGAAAGUGUGGGUAGCAAACAGGAUUAGAUACCCUGGUAGUCCACACCGUAAACGAUGAUUACUAGGUGUUGGAGGAUUGACCCCUUCAGUGCCGCAGUUAACACAAUAAGUAAUCCACCUGGGGAGUACGACCGCAAGGUUGAAACUCAAAGGAAUUGACGGGGGCCCGCACAAGCAGUGGAGUAUGUGGUUUAAUUCGACGCAACGCGAAGAACCUUACCAAGUCUUGACAUCCGUUGACCGCUGUAGAAAUACAGUUUUCCUUCGGGACAGCGAGACAGGUGGUGCAUGGUUGUCGUCAGCUCGUGUCGUGAGAUGUUGGGUUAAGUCCCGCAACGAGCGCAACCCUUAUGGUCAGUUACUACGCAAGAGGACUCUGGCCAGACUGCCGUUGACAAAACGGAGGAAGGUGGGGAUGACGUCAAAUCAUCAUGCCCUUUAUGACUUGGGCUACACACGUACUACAAUGGCGUUAAACAAAGAGAAGCAAGACCGCGAGGUGGAGCAAAACUCAGAAACAACGUCCCAGUUCGGACUGCAGGCUGCAACUCGCCUGCACGAAGUCGGAAUUGCUAGUAAUCGUGGAUCAGCAUGCCACGGUGAAUACGUUCCCGGGCCUUGUACACACCGCCCGUCACACCAUGAGAGCCGGGGGGACCCGAAGUCGGUAGUC
RNAcentral lists this ribosomal RNA (1406 nucleotides) under metagenome. Its description in RNAcentral is "bacterial SSU rRNA". It matches the Rfam family "Bacterial small subunit ribosomal RNA". The record is from RNAcentral.